AACGAACGCUGGCGGCAUGCCUAACACAUGCAAGUCGAACGAGACCUUCGGGUCUAGUGGCGCACGGGUGCGUAACGCGUGGGAACCUGCCCUUAGGUUCGGAAUAACUCCCCGAAAGGGGUGCUAAUACCGGAUAAUGUCUUCGGACCAAAGAUUUAUCGCCUUUGGAUGGGCCCGCGUUGGAUUAGCUAGUUGGUAGGGUAAAAGCCUACCAAGGCGACGAUCCAUAGCUGGUCUGAGAGGAUGAUCAGCCACACUGGGACUGAGACACGGCCCAGACUCCUACGGGAGGCAGCAGUGGGGAAUAUUGGACAAUGGGCGAAAGCCUGAUCCAGCAAUGCCGCGUGAGUGAUGAAGACCUUAGGGUAGUAAAGCUCUUUUACCCGGGAUGAUAAUGACAGUACCGGGAGAAUAAGCUCCGGCUAACUCCGUG
RNAcentral lists this ribosomal RNA (433 nucleotides) under uncultured bacterium. Its description in RNAcentral is "partial 16S ribosomal RNA". It matches the Rfam family "Bacterial small subunit ribosomal RNA", at positions 29 to 507 of the family's 1533-position model. The record is from RNAcentral.